UUUGUCAACAUUGCUGGAACAAUCUCUAUAGAAUAUAGUAUAAAAUGAUUCUUUGUAUUAAAAACCACAAACCGCUGUCUAACGAAAUGAAUUAUUUAUUUUUAUAUUUUUGCUUACAUCCAAUGAUACACAAAUUGGGCUAUGAUGAUCGUCUGAAUUUAUUUUCCAGUAAGAACCAUGGGCAAAAUUUAUUCAUCUAGAAUGAUUUGUUCGUGGCAGGGAGGAUCUGGAAAAGCUGUUCUCCAGCAUGCUUGCCGUAUUUACAGGGAUGUUAGGAGGUGAAGAGCUCUCUCAAGCAUACGCCAGCGGAGAUGUUUUCGUCAUGCCUUUAGAAUCAGAGACGCUCGGACACAUAAUGUCAUUUUCAAAAAACAGGUAAAAAGGGAAUAAGUUAUUCAAAGCUUGCGAAUUUAUCACCUAUAGUCGGCCUCUACUCAAGCUUAAUCUUGCGGUCGGUCCAGUCUCAAUAGCAACAUCUUUCCGCCGAAUGAAUACAUAAUUGAGGGCAGUUCAAGCUAUCAGUUUUACCCACGGUAAUUUGCCGUAACCUAUAAAAGAUUUGUAACAAUUUUACAAAUACAAACUUACUACAUAAAAGAUAGAGUUUUAGGUAGAUUACUCUACUUAUAUUUCCCGACUUUAGUUCUAUGUCUUAUGAUAAGGUUUGGACUCAGGUAAUGUUUAAUACAGUUGAAAAUUAAAAAUUAAGUAUUGAAAA
This is a long non-coding RNA of Camellia sinensis, 718 nucleotides long. RefSeq lists it as uncharacterized. The record is from RefSeq and is a predicted model, not a curated record. Lineage: Eukaryota; Viridiplantae; Streptophyta; Magnoliopsida; Ericales; Theaceae.